AAAUGCACAGGUUGUGAACUCGAAGAGUAGGGCGGGACACGUGGUAUCCUGUCUGAAUAUGGGGGGACCAUCCUCCAAGGCUAAAUACUCCUGACUGACCGAUAGUGAACCAGUACCGUGAGGGAAAGGCGAAAAGAACCCCGGCGAGGGGAGUGAAAAAGAACCUGAAACCGUGUACGUACAAGCAGUGGGAGCCUACUUGUUAGGUGACUGCGUACCUUUUGUAUAAUGGGUCAGCGACUUAU
RNAcentral lists this ribosomal RNA (245 nucleotides) under Enterobacter kobei. RNAcentral describes it as "partial 23S ribosomal RNA". It matches the Rfam family "Bacterial large subunit ribosomal RNA", at positions 383 to 631 of the family's 2925-position model. Lineage: Bacteria; Pseudomonadati; Pseudomonadota; Gammaproteobacteria; Enterobacterales; Enterobacteriaceae. The record is from RNAcentral.